RNAcentral lists this ribosomal RNA (496 nucleotides) under uncultured bacterium. RNAcentral's name for it is "partial 16S ribosomal RNA". It matches the Rfam family "Bacterial small subunit ribosomal RNA", at positions 28 to 506 of the family's 1533-position model. The record is from RNAcentral.
GAUGAACGCUGGCGGCGUGCCUAAUACAUGCAAGUCGAGCGAACAGACGAGGAGCUUGCUCCUCUGACGUUAGCGGCGGACGGGUGAGUAACACGUGGAUAACCUACCUAUAAGACUGGGAUAACUUCGGGAAACCGGAGCUAAUACCGGAUAAUAUAUUGAACCGCAUGGUUCAAUAGUGAAAGACGGUUUUGCUGUCACUUAUAGAUGGAUCCGCGCCGCAUUAGCUAGUUGGUAAGGUAACGGCUUACCAAGGCAACGAUGCGUAGCCGACCUGAGAGGGGGAGCGGCCAACGUGGAACGGAAAAACGGUCCAGACCCCUACGGGAGGCAGGAGGAGGGAAUCUUCCGCAAGGGGCGAAAGCCUGACGGGGAAACGCCGGGGGGGGGAAGAAGGUCUUCGGAUCGUAAAACUCUGUUAUUAGGGAAAAAAAAAUGGGUAAGUAACUAGGCACGUCUUGACGGUACCUAAGCAGAAAGCCACGGCUAACUACGU